UACAGAGGGGGCAAGCGUUGUUCGGAAUUACUGGGCGUAAAGGGCGCGUAGGCGGCCUUCUAAGUCGAACGUGAAAUCCCUGGGCUUAACCUGGGAACUGCAUCCGAUACUGGAUGGCUUGAAUUCGGGAGAGGGAUGCAGAAUUCCAGGUGUAGCGGUGAAAUGCGUAGAUAUCUGGAGGAAUACCGGUGGCGAAGGCGGCAUCCUGGACCGACAUUGACGCUGAUGAGCGAAAGCUAGGGGAGCAAACGGG
Molecule: ribosomal RNA, 253 nt
Filed under: uncultured bacterium
Lineage: Bacteria
Description: partial 16S ribosomal RNA
Rfam family: Bacterial small subunit ribosomal RNA
Source: RNAcentral